UACAGGGGGGGCAAGCGUUGUUCGGAAUUACUGGGCGUAAAGGGCUCGUAGGCGGCCAACUAAGUCACACGUGAAAUCCCCAGGCUUAACCUGGGAACUGCGUGUGAUACUGGAUGGCUUGAAUCCGGGAGAGGGAUGCGGAAUUCCAGGUGUAGCGGUGAAAUGCGUAGAUAUCAGGAGGAACACCGGUGGCGAAGGCGGCAUCCUGGACCGGCAUUGACGCUGAGGAGCGAAAGCCAGGGGAGCAAACGGG
Molecule: ribosomal RNA, 253 nt
Filed under: uncultured bacterium
Lineage: Bacteria
Description: partial 16S ribosomal RNA
Rfam family: Bacterial small subunit ribosomal RNA
Source: RNAcentral